AAAUUGAAGAGUUUGAUCAUGGCUCAGAUUGAACGCUGGCGGCAGGCCUAACACAUGCAAGUCGAACGGUAACAGGAAACAGCUUGCUGUUUCGCUGACGAGUGGCGGACGGGUGAGUAAUGUCUGGGAAACUGCCUGAUGGAGGGGGAUAACUACUGGAAACGGUAGCUAAUACCGCAUAAUGUCGCAAGACCAAAGAGGGGGACCUUAGGGCCUCUUGCCAUCGGAUGUGCCCAGAUGGGAUUAGCUAGUAGGUGGGGUAACGGCUCACC
This 272-nucleotide ribosomal RNA is filed under the name Shigella dysenteriae. Its description in RNAcentral is "partial 16S ribosomal RNA". It matches the Rfam family "Bacterial small subunit ribosomal RNA", at positions 1 to 269 of the family's 1533-position model. Lineage: Bacteria; Pseudomonadati; Pseudomonadota; Gammaproteobacteria; Enterobacterales; Enterobacteriaceae. The record is from RNAcentral.